AAGUCGUAACAAGGUUUCCGUAGGUGAACCUGCGGAAGGAUCAUUAACACGUGAUUUCUCACGUAUAAUCCACAAGCAAUGUUAUCUUCCUCUUGUCGAGGAGGGUCACUGAUGGACGAUCUUUGGCGCCGAGACUACUCGGCUUGCCCAUCAGUUAGUUGCCCAGAAAUGAGGUGACGCCCAGAGCGACAGGAGCGUAACGAUUCCGUAUUUCCACCGCCUGCCUUCGAGGUAUGGGUACGGGACAUGAUCUUUAUUUUCUUUUUAUUUUCUACUAAUUCUUUGUCUAAUCACUUCGAAUUCCUGGUCUAAUCAACCGGUUGCAGUUUGACCUGAUUGACACUCAUUAAUUACGAAACAACUCUUAGCAACGGAUAUCUUGGUUCUC
RNAcentral lists this unclassified non-coding RNA (388 nucleotides) under fungal sp. RNAcentral describes it as "partial internal transcribed spacer region". The stretch from base 1 to 46 matches the Rfam family "Eukaryotic small subunit ribosomal RNA", at positions 1786 to 1831 of the family's 1831-position model. The record is from RNAcentral. Lineage: Eukaryota; Fungi.